AAGGCAAGGUAGAGGGCGGGCCCCUUCUGGAAGGUCUGGAAGGUUUGGAAGAGGGACACCCUCGGGAAGGAGUAGGGUUCAGGAACAGGACAGGGCUUGGGGACCGGAGUCAGCUCAGGGGCUGGAGAGAAUUGUGGAACCGGAUGGCACACCAAACUCACCACCCCCACUCUGAUGGUCCAUAAGGCACCCUCCAACCCGGGCCUUGAAGCAACAGCGCUGCACGUACGCCCCAACACAGCCUCCAACAAAAGAGCGUCUGCUGGGUCCAAUGAUGGUCGGAUCAUUCUGUCACGGUUAGCGGGUGGCAGGCAGGCAGGUAAGACCCAAUCGCAGACAGUUCAAUAAAAGGAUAAUUUAUUAAUGCAAAAGGCAAGGAACACGGGUGACGCGGGGAACAACGGGAACACAGGUACACACCGGACACAACUCAACACAAACUAAAAUUAUCCGACAAGGAACAAAGGAAAGACAAGGGCUUAAAUACUAAACACAGGGCACGCAAAGAGUAACAGCAUGGGGAGAAACAAUUCGGAGAUACCAAAGUAAAACAUGUAUCACACCAAAACAAGUCAAGGAAACAGACAGCCCAUGACACCCUCCCUCCCUUUCCCAAAGCAGAGAUAAACCGGAAUUGGGAGAUCUUCCCAGAAGUACAAAAUAGAUAAUUGGCAGGUUCAGAGUGCUGAAACAAAGAAGACAUAAAACUAAACAAAAAUAAGAAAUACUAUGGCUUUAGUUAUCCCCAUCCUCUGGAACAGCUGUCAAGGUUUUUACAUAUAGUCUAGAAAAGGUGUUAAUUUUUUUCAAAACUUCUUAGUGAACCUUUCAGACUGACACAGCAGGAGAAUUUCUGAUUCCAUGGAGGAAGCUAAUGGCAUUCUAAACAGACUUUCUACCAAUCUUCGGGGCCAAGAAACCCCGAACUCUGGCCAUCUGAGUAAUUGCCUGCCUACCCUGGUUUGAACUUGACCAUUGUUUGCGUGUCGUGUGUUUCGGUUUUUGCUCCAAUCUCCAUUGGAGCAGAAAAAAAGACAUGGCCAGCAUUUAUUUGAUGAUGUCGAGCAGCUGCAAAGAUCAUCAUUAUCAUACAGAGUAUUCCUUGAAAUCUUUUAAGUGUGUGGAUUUACUAUAAAUCAAAUAUUUCAUUAUCUUUCCAUGAGAAGAUACUAUUGCAUUAUUUAAAAAAAAAGGAAUAUAAAGCAAUUACAACUUU
Gadus morhua (Atlantic cod) is the source of this 1216-nucleotide long non-coding RNA. RefSeq lists it as uncharacterized. The record is from RefSeq and is a predicted model, not a curated record. NCBI's taxonomy places the organism in Eukaryota, Metazoa, Chordata, Actinopteri, Gadiformes, Gadidae. The transcript has 2 exons.